Molecule: long non-coding RNA, 4204 nt
Organism: Bombus impatiens (common eastern bumble bee)
Lineage: Eukaryota; Metazoa; Arthropoda; Insecta; Hymenoptera; Apidae
Exons: 4
Source: RefSeq, a predicted model, not a curated record
AGUGUCAAUUGAGGGUUAAUAAUGUUAUUACGCUAGAAUUACCAGAUCAAAAUAACUUGAAUCAGGUUUUUUAUUUUUCCAAUAGAGCACUAUAAGGGAGGAACAUAAGUUACAUUCUCUGUCUUUUACAGAGAAACAGUUUUAAGAUUCUGCAUAUUGUUAAUCAAUCCCAUAUUAUCAAAAAUGUGUUUCUACUAUAAUUUUCAAUUAGUAGAAAUAGAUAAAUAUUUUUGGUGUUAUUAAUAUUUUAGUUUUAUUCGGAUAGAAACACUUAUUUUGGAUAUAUUACAUUAAAUCCAAUUAACUAUCUGGAACAUAUCAAAGAGCUUGUUAGUUUUGGUGUUAAUAAGAAAAUUAAUUCAAAGUAAAUAGAUAGGAAAGAAUAUAUCUAAUGGAUAAAAUAGACUAAUUAGAGAUGGCUUCAUAAUAAUUGAAACUUGAUGAAAUUCUAUUUAUAUAUUAGAAUUUAUGUCUUUUCACUUUUCUUCAGAUGACGAUAAUAAGGUGUUAAUGGAUUUGGAAGUUUUAGGGUAUACCAAGGAGUGAGAAUUUCUGAAAAUAUCGAAAGACUUAAUCUGACGAAUCCACGGGCAAUUUAAUCGCGUAUAAAGUUUAAAAUAACUUCUAUACUUGAGUGUCUUGGAGAUUUCUGAAGGAACCUGUAAUCUCGAUGAAUUUAAGGAGCAGGCAAUUUUCGCGAAGCUAUUUCUGCUCUUGAGGGAAGCACAACUUUUGCUCCAUUUCGUCAGUCUUAAACACACACUUAUAGAAAUUGUUUUAUUUCUUUCUUAGUUAAUUUAUAUAGAUUAAUUUAAAUAAUUUGUUUUAGAACAUUUGAAGAUUACAAGGGAAAACACAUGUCUUCAUCGUAUCAUGGUAAUGCUAUAAUUUCAUUGAUCUUGAUGUUAUUCAGUGAUUAAAAAGAUAUACUUUGAUAUAACAUAGUUAAAGAUAGAAAAAAACCAUUUAGUUUAAAGGUGUGACUGAUUAAAAAUACCAAGUCCAUAAAGAUUUAUGAAAAAAUUAAUUUACCAUAAUACUUUUAAGGAAUCAAUGUAUUUGAUGAUCUCACUCAUAAUGAAUUUUAAUAAAAAGACAAAUUUGGUAAUAUACGAGAAUUGUUAACAAGAUAUGAGGUAUUAAAAUUGCUCUCAUAUGAAAAACAAAAAGUAUGACUUAUCGCAGCUUUCCCCUGUAGUUUUCUUUUAUUAGAGGUGUCGCGUUUAGGAGAUGAAUUUAACAGUGCCAUAUCAAACAUUGGCGGAGCCCCGAGUCGUCAAAUGGACGAUAAUACGAACCAAUCGGCAGGACGCACUUGAUGAACGUAAUAAUCGAUCGGUUGAGACGUUUGACACACUUUUCCAGCCAGAUAACGAUUAAUUUUCGUCGAUGUAAAUCUAUACUAAGUGAUGUGGCGAAGGCGUUUUCGCGGAAAUGGCACAGGUGCACUGAAACUGUGCAUUGUAAUAAAUAAUCGAUACCAUUCAUUGUCUCUGAUGUAGCUGUGGUUUAGAUUAGAGAAGUACCUUUUCAACAUAUUUGGAUCCUAGGGGGAAAUAUCUUCUUCUUUGAUAUUUUCUACGGUACAUUCAAGGCGAAGAGGAGAAUUGAUACGGUGUUGGUAGCUCGUGUGCGUGACGUGGAAAGCACACGCGAGCACACGCUCACGCUGCUCGCGUGUCAACUACCGUAACCCUCGAGUACAUCGGGGGUUUCACGAUGGACGGGGUCGCGGCUGAAAGGAAGGGGCUGAAAAAAGGUGUGAAUGCCGGAUGGCAUUCAUUCAAAUGCCGUCCAAUCACAGCAUCGUACUCCAGGUCGAGCAGCAGGGCCGGCAUGCAUCGGGAAUUAUUAAGUCCUCGCGAUUCCCUGUUGCGUUAACGAGCCAAAUUAACUCAAACCGAGAAGAAAAACCGUCUGCGGGAUAAACUGGAUAAAUAUUGUAUUAAUUAUCGCUGCAUUGCGUAUGCUGUUAGCCACGCCGAAGUGGAUGUUCUAAAAAGGAGCUUCAUGCUUAUAAGAUAGAAAUUGAAGACUAUUUUAAAGAUUGGUUUGGGAAAAGGAUGAGCGAAUGUGGAGUAAGGACUAUUGUAUUUGAGCGAGAUUUCAACAAAUCAAAUAAAACAGAAACUGGAAUGGAAAGUCGUGGCAUUAAAUCAAGUAGAUCUGCUGAUUUCCUGUGGAUCAAUUUUGUAUAGUUAAUUGCAUUGUAAUUUUCGUUGAAUAGUACAAAUUGGUUUAGAAGUGUAAACAAAGCAAUGAACAGUAUGUCGAACGGUAUUUGUUAGAAUAAGGAUAUUUCUGAUAAAAUAUAAACAAAAAGCAGAGCCAGAAAUGUGUGGUUAUAUUUGAAUAGCAAAGUGUGUGUUGCAUUGAAGAAAAUAAAAAUGAAAAUUGAAGAUAAGAAUAAGGUACCAUUUAACUUUCACUGAAUCAAAAUCUCUUUGAACUUUUAUCAGUUUUACUUAAAAUAACUCUUCUAAAUGGAACAAAAGCUUGUAGGAAUAAAUAGAAUAAAGAUAUAAUCUUUCCUAGAUUCUGCAGUUUCACUUAGACACCGCUCUGAAAUUUAUGAAUCAAAUAGAGAGGAUCCGGCUCGACUUGCCGAGGCAACGUCUUUCUGCCGAGUGUUUUUGACACGAGGCGGUCUCUCCAAUCGAUCCAGGCUAGAAUAGCCGAACCGGAAGUGGGACGUUUAGGCUCGAUGGGAAUGACAACGAAGAGAGAGCGACUUAACUUUGGAUCACGACGGGGCCCUCUCGCUGUGAAUCACUCGAACGAAUUUCCUCGAUAAGAUAGCUAGCUCUCCUCCCAGCCGCCUAUUCUUCCAUGCGAGAAUUACUUUCGUUCAACGAAGGAGAGGCGAUUCUUCUACUUAAGAAUUAAUUGAAAGGGAAACGAAUCGUCGACGUUGAUCGAACGGGGAUCUAGAAGACAUCAGCUUCUUCCAUGAACCAUCCUGUUUCAUCUCUUUCAUAAGUUAUUAAAUAGAUAAAAAAGAAGAACGUCAAGAGAAAUUGCUAUUAUAAUUUUGGUAGAUUAAUUUACGGUUAUGUGUAUUUCAUCUGUUAGAAUACUAGUAGGAUUGUUCAUACUUAAGAUGUGGCCAAAAUAUUGGGUUCACACGUACUCGCGUAAUUGUUUUCGUGGUAUAAGUUCGAAAGAAGAAUCUCUUCUUUUGAAGAGAUGUAACGGAUUCUGUGAGAAAAAUUAAACGAUACUUAUACUUUUGUUAAAUUCUGCGAUACUGCAACUGCACAGAUCUUUUUAAACGCUAUCUUAAAGAACUGAAUAUUUAAAUCAUGAAAAUAAGUAAAAAUAUAGAAAUUUAAUGGUCGAGCUAUUUAAUUUUAUUAAUAUGUUCAGAUCUACUGAACGAAGAUCGACUAGCCUUGAUAUUUCCAAAAGAACUGCUAUAAUCUCGUAUAUAAUUAAUUUCUAUAAAGAAAUUCUAAUUUAAUCUAACGAUGAAAAAAUGUUUCGUUUAAUUUUAAUUUAAUAAUUGAAAAUUACUGUGAAUUAAUAUUAAAAGAACAAUAUAAGAGAAGAUAAAUUCUUUCUAGCAAAGAGAAUCUUAUUGAUUCCACUUAAUAUUUCUAAAUAGAUUUCAAGUAUCAAUUUGGACAAUAACUCACUAGGUCACAAUUGGUGUGGUUAGAGGCAUCACUGAAGCAGGAUGAAGGUAGAUCCCGUUUCACGUUCAGGUUUUCUGGUGUCUACGGUUGAAACUGAUAUACUCUGAGCUGAAAGACAAUGACUUCUGUCAGAGAGUAGUAUGACAAUUGGCAGCUGAUUGCGAUCUUGCACCCCUGUUGGGAGGGAGAGGAGAAAAAAUUAGCGACGGAGGAGGCAAUCAACGUGUCUGUGAAGUAGCGUGGCCCUAGGUUUUGCGGCUGUAUCGACCUAAUAGUCCGUAGUUCGCAGCAGCUCGUAAAAUACGGCGAUUACACGACGUGAUUUCGAGGAAAACCAUAAUAGCCGACCCUGACCGUCGAGAAAUCGUCCCAUCGGAACGAACAGUUCAGUAGAUCCACCCUUUGCAAUUUAUCGAUGCUGCAAUUCGGCUCUCCGACCUAUCCAACCUACAGAAACUGACGAAUUUUCUAAAAGAUUUGAAUGACAUUUUUGUAAAGUGCGUAGAUGAAGAAUGGGAAGCUUUUUGCAUUCUACUAAUUUCUAAUUCUAGUAACCUUGACAGACGAAU